CUGGAAGGAUACCACCGUGCUGCCCUGCAGUCACCAAAGGCAAUAAGAGAGAUGACGUGGUGGGGGAAAAGUAUCGUGAGCAGGCUGCAACACCACCCUGUGUGAAGGCUAUAAUUUUUAACACAAAAGAUGGACAACAACUUUGUGCUGAUCCAGACGCUCAGUGGGUCAAAGAUCUCACUGCCAAAAUGAGGAAGGAGUGAAGUCUGUCUGCUGCAUCAGUAUUUCCAGUAUUUCCAUCACCAUUAAAGGCUUAUUCAAACCAGAGCGCUUUCUCAGCCUGACUGUCUUAAAACUUUCUUUUUUGCAUUUGUAGAUUAAUUUUUACUCUUACCUGUGGAGUAACCCUGUAUUUUAUUCAUGCUGUUGACUUCAUUGUUUUUUAAUUCAUCAUUGGGGUUCUGGUUUUAUUUGUCUUUUUUUAUUUUUUAUGUUUUGCUUAUUUGUGAAUCUCUUUCUGUGCAUUAUGUGUUUAUGUGAAGCAAAA
Long non-coding RNA from Oreochromis aureus, 487 nucleotides. RefSeq lists it as uncharacterized. The record is from RefSeq and is a predicted model, not a curated record. NCBI's taxonomy places the organism in Eukaryota, Metazoa, Chordata, Actinopteri, Cichliformes, Cichlidae. The transcript has 3 exons.